Molecule: ribosomal RNA, 212 nt
Filed under: uncultured Flavonifractor sp.
Lineage: Bacteria; Bacillati; Bacillota; Clostridia; Eubacteriales; Oscillospiraceae
Description: partial 16S ribosomal RNA
Rfam family: Bacterial small subunit ribosomal RNA
Source: RNAcentral
AUUGCAGGCUGAAACCCGCCUGUAUGAAGUUGGAAUCGCUAGUAAUCGCGGAUCAGCAUGCCGCGGUGAAUACGUUCCCGGGCCUUGUACACACCGCCCGUCACACCAUGAGAGUCGGGAACACCCGAAGUCCGUAGCCUAACCGCAAGGAGGGCGCGGCCGAAGGUGGGUUCGAUAAUUGGGGUGAAGUCGUAACAAGGUCGACGCGGCCG